CUUCUGUGAUGAGGUUUCUACUUCAUGGUCCGUGUAUUUGACACCCGUGAUAUGAAAGAAGUUCUGAAGAU
Small nucleolar RNA from Syngnathus acus (greater pipefish), 71 nucleotides. RefSeq annotates it as small nucleolar RNA SNORD18. NCBI's taxonomy places the organism in Eukaryota, Metazoa, Chordata, Actinopteri, Syngnathiformes, Syngnathidae. The transcript has a single exon. The record is from RefSeq and is a predicted model, not a curated record.